Molecule: RNA transcript, 4172 nt
Organism: Falco peregrinus (peregrine falcon)
Lineage: Eukaryota; Metazoa; Chordata; Aves; Falconiformes; Falconidae
Source: RefSeq, a predicted model, not a curated record
GUUUGGUGGGGGUUACUGCUGUUUUCUCCAUCUCUCACCUCUGACUGUCGGGGGUUCGGUACCUUCCGGCCUGACACAGAAGUGCGCUGCGUAACUGUGUGGCGAGUCUUCACCUUUUCUUUGAGCAUCUGUAGUCCCCUGCGGGAGGAACGCCCCGUUGUGGAGCGGGCCUGGGGCGGGAAGAGGAGCUGCUGCCAUGUUGGGGGAGCAAAGAGGAUUUCAAUGAGGGAGAAAAUGGCGGUGGGGAACCGCCCGGGUCGGCUCCAUUCCCCCCCGGGAUCUGACCCUGCCCGCUGAUGACCCCCGAUCCUUUUGUGUGUGUAAUGCCUAAGUCAAAGGAACUUGUGUCUUCAAGCUCAUCUGCUAGUGACUCAGAUAGUGAAGUUGACAAAAAGGCAAAGCGGAAAAAGCAAGCAGCUCCAGAAAAGCCUGUAAAGAAACAAAAGACUGGUGAAAGUUCAAAAGGUGCAGCUUCUUCUAAGCAAAGCAAUAACAGAGAUGAGAAUAUGUUUCAGAUUGGCAAAAUGAGGUAUGUCAGUGUUCGUGACUUUAAAGGGAAAGUCUUAAUUGAUAUUAGAGAAUAUUGGAUGGAUCAAGAAGGUGAAAUGAAACCUGGCAGAAAAGGUCCUGCUCCACCUACAGGGCGAAAGCAAUGAAGGAAGCCUGAUCACUGAGGGGGGAGAGUGGGGGUAAAUAGUAGAAGAGCCUUGCUGAAGAGAGUAUGAGAGGUAUUUCUUUAAAUCCAGAACAGUGGAACCAGCUGAAGGAACAGAUUUCUGAUAUUGAUGAUGCAGUAAGAAAACUGUAAAUACAGAGCCAUACAGAAACCUUUAUCAUUUUAGUUCUUUUAAGUGGUCUUUUUACAUUGGCUUUUGUUUUCUAAAAUAUUGUUUUCCAAGCUAUUGUAUAUUUGGAUUGCAAAACUAUUUCUAAGAUGAAUACUUUUUUUAAUGUGCAUUAAAAGUGUAUUCUAAGUGAGGCUAUUUGUGUAUACUUUACUAAAAAGAAAGGUGUUGCUUUCACCUCAUGGUAUUAAAUAAAUACCUAUGCUUUACUUAUUAUUUAGGGCCUUUUGAAGGUUUUUGCCAGUAACGCCAUCAAUAGCUUUAGUCUUUUUUUAGUUUCAGUUUAGUAACUGUAAAUAUGAAUUUGUUUUCUGAGGCAAUUUAUUAAAAUGUCUCCACUUAAUUUUUUUUCUUUUAUUUCAUACUGUAUUACCCUGGCAGAUUUCUGCUUUAAGACUUGAUACAAACAGUGAAUACCUGGUCAAACACAUUUUUGUAGGUAAUCUUAAACACUAUUUGCUAAUUUACCAUAUUUAUUCAUAUGUAAACAGUCCUGAGUAUAUAGACUUUUUGCAUUACUUGCAUGAAGUGUUAUGCUAAACAGUAACACUUGAACACAAGCCACGUGCUAUUUCUUCCCAUUUUUCUAUAAUCUGCUUGACUUAGAAAAUACAAUUAGCCUUCAUUCUUGGACCCUAGAUUUUAGAAUGUGAUGCAAAAACUUUUAUAGUAAUAGACAUAUACUUCAGAGUAGAGUAAUAUUUAAAAGCUCCAAAUGUGGUUAUUAGGUACCUUUUUCAAGUUUUGCAUUAAAUUAAUUUUUGAACACAUACUGACUAGUUAGCUUAUAGAAAAGAACAGUUAACCUGUCUUUGUAGGGCUUUUGUUCGUUAGAGAGUAUUGUGUAAACAACAGUGCUUAAACUAGGCUGUAACACCUGUUAAACAGCCAAACAGGGUUAAAAUUGCUUCAGCCAAAAUAUCUGUCUACCAUGCUUCUGCACCGCCUACCCAAACCAUUUAAGUUUGCUUGUCUUGUGUGGCUUACAUGUCCACAACUCUUUUUAUCUACAGAAAAUACUUUGUGCUUACAAUGGAGUGCUGGUACAUAGUGGAUCAUGACUCUAGAGACCUUUGCUUCUUACCAGUGUACUACUCUGGUAAGACAAGCUUCUGUCCAGUGGAAGAUCUAUUAGACUAGAUGCUGCCCUGGUUGAAGGGCUGUUUGGUAGGUGUCACAAACUAUGGAAUGAAGAAGGGAGAAUAUGAUGAUUGAAUAGAACUUUGGAGAGAUAAAGGGUUCACCAGUACAGAAGUUAACAAUGAAAGAUCGAAGUUAGCUGAUACAUAAUAACUACAGUGAAGAAAUGUAUGUUAGCAGAAUUGGAGAAGUUUAUUUUCUGACUUAAUAUAGUUAAUUGAAAAAAGAUGAAACAACUUCAUGAAAACUGACAUUUCAAGACACUAGUGAAUGUACAGCUUAAUGGCUUGGCUGUAACUUUCCCAUUUGAUGUUAAAUUUAAUGUAUUUUUUAAAUUUUAAAUAAAGGAUUUACUAUUUGUUUAAUUUUGGAAUAUAUUAAUGUGAUUGUUGCAGACAUGCAUGGAAGUCCUGUUCUGCUAAGUGCCAUACAGAUUGUUCCUGUGCUGCAGAGUUUAUAAUUAAAUACAAAUGGAUAUUGAAGGGUGACUUCAUCAAAUUAACUAUAUAUUAAUUUAAAUGUUAUGUCAGAAUGCCUCCACCUGCUCUUUGACUUAUCUAUUGUUGGCAUAUUUCAAAUAAAAUUAAGAUGUUUUUGUAUAGCUCAGGAAAUAUGAGGUUUUAAGAACUCUGCUUGAAGGUGAAUAAAAGGGUGAAGAGAUCUUUUGUGGUAGGAGCUGCAUUUUUGGGCACAACAUUCUUUUUUGAGUGACUCUUAAUAGCAUGUAGAGAUAUUUGGACCAAAUAGAAUAAACAUAUCUGCUAAAAUUUUCAGAUGAGUGAAUGAAAUAAAUUGCUUCAGAUCACUAUCAACAAAUUCUAGGUGUUGAUUUCAAUUUGCAGUAUGUAUGUGGGGUUUUUUUUUUCCUUCUCCUUUAAAUCUGAAAAUUUGCAACCAGAUUUCACCCAUUUUACCUCAGCUUUCAAAGAGCUACUUUUAAAGUGCAUGGUUAUCACAAUAAAGGGAACAUUGUCCUCACUUAGAUUACUGUGGUAGUAGGUCAUUGGAUGGCAGUUAUGUAUCAGAGUACAAUAUAUUGUAUUCAGGAAGGUGGAGAAUUAAAUUCAUUCAUUUUGGGGGAGUAAGUGGAAAAAAGUUUUAAUGUAGUGAUUAGUUAUCUUGUGGAAACUGAUGGUAGAGAUGGUUAACAUAUCUUUGAACAAGAACUAUUAGUUCCUCUUAUAGAUAACAGCCUUGCUGAAUUUGUGAUAAUUACUUGAGAAAACUUAGCAGUUUCAUUUUACUUAGCUUGUGUUUUUAAAAAUAUUUUCCGUCUGCCAGUUAUUUCUGCCUGUAAUAAUGAUAAAAUAUAUAUUUUACCUGAAUCAGUCUUAAUGUCUGCAUGAAUGUCCUACAAAAAAGGUAACUAAUAAACUAGUCAGUUUCACAGAUGAACUCAAAAUGGGACAUGUUUAAUUUCGAGAUAAUUCAUUGCACCUUGGGUGACUGAUGUGCUGGUUACGUGAUAAAAAUGUGGCACAUUAAUGUUAUUUUGAAAUAAAUAGUUGGUAGUGAUUUGUCAUGUAGUUGUCUAUGGCUGUAGUCUUUCUAAUUUGAAAAGAAAAUUAACAUUUUUUUUUUAUAAAAAAAAAUUUCUUGCGGACAAAAUGGUAGUCAAGGUACAUGUAGAAGCGUCCAUGGAAGAAAACUGCAUGUAUGAAAAGACUGUGUAAUGUGAGAUAAACACUGCUCCCUUUCCCAUUGAAGUGGCAAAAGAAAGAUGAAUUUGAUUGUUGAUAUUUAUGCUUGACGUAUUAGCAAUAUGUUUUAUAAAAUAAACCUAUUCUAGAGCUUAGGAGGAAAAAUACAUCAGUUAGAGCUGCCAAAGCACCAUAUGUGUGCUGAAUCACUGUCAUGUACAAUGUUGCUCUUAUGUAGAGAUGUUCAUAUUGAAGUUAAGCAUACAGUACUAAGUUUGAUAUUUCUGUUAAAGGAAAUGCCCCAGUUAUGUACUAAUGUGAUUUGUUAGCAAAAAAAAUUAUUAUUGUAAUUCUGGUAACUCAAAUGUCAUAUUGUUAACCAUGUGGAAUGUUUCAUGUUUUGUUCUGGUGGUAUUUACUGCAGAGGCGCCACUGGAAAUAUGUGCCCUCCAACUGUAAUUACCUUAAUGUUCAAAUAAAAAGUAGUUAAAUGGCAUAUGUGUAAUAACAGUUUGAGCACUUGGAAAUAAAUCAAGACUUCUGUUGA